GCUGGGUGUGGUGGCACAUGCCUGUAGUCCCAGCUACUCGGGAGGCUGAGGUGGGAGGAUUGCUUGAGUCCAGGAGUUCUGGGCUGCACUGCGCUAUGCCGAUCGGGUGUCCGCACUAAGUUCGGCAUCAAUAUGGUGACCUCCUGGGAGCGGGGGACCACCAGGUUGCCUUCGGAGGGGUGAACUGGCCCAGGUUGGAAAUGAAGCAGGCCAAAACUCCCGUGCUGAUCAAAUACAAAUUUCUUCAGUAUUACAAUAGAAACAUCAAAAGGUAAAAUAUAACAGAAAUUCUUCCUUU
This is an unclassified non-coding RNA of Heterocephalus glaber (naked mole-rat), 298 nucleotides long. It matches the Rfam family "Metazoan signal recognition particle RNA". Rfam says of the family: The signal recognition particle (SRP) is a universally conserved ribonucleoprotein. It is involved in the co-translational targeting of proteins to membranes. The eukaryotic SRP consists of a 300-nucleotide 7S RNA and six proteins: SRPs 72, 68, 54, 19, 14, and 9. NCBI's taxonomy places the organism in Eukaryota, Metazoa, Chordata, Mammalia, Rodentia, Bathyergidae. The record is from Ensembl.